Molecule: antisense RNA, 144 nt
Filed under: Tatumella ptyseos ATCC 33301
Lineage: Bacteria; Pseudomonadati; Pseudomonadota; Gammaproteobacteria; Enterobacterales; Erwiniaceae
Description: Bacterial antisense RNA HPnc0260
Rfam family: Bacterial antisense RNA HPnc0260
Source: Rfam by way of RNAcentral
AGUAAGAGAAUAAUGCAGGAAAACGCAGAGUAAAAGAAACGUGAAGCCGUCGGGGAGAAUAUCGGGGGUAUAGUGAUGUAAAUCAGAAACAGAAGAGAUAAUUCAUGGUGCGUCCGAGUGGACUCGAACCACCGACCCCCACCA